AAAUUGAAGAGUUUGAUCAUGGCUCAGAUUGAACGCUGGCGGCAGGCCUAACACAUGCAAGUCGAACGGUAACAGGAAGCAGCUUGCUGCUUUGCUGACGAGUGGCGGACGGGUGAGUAAUGUCUGGGAAACUGCCUGAUGGAGGGGGAUAACUACUGGAAACGGUGGCUAAUACCGCAUAACGUCGCAAGACCAAAGAGGGGGACCUUCGGGCCUCUUGCCAUCAGAUGUGCCCAGAUGGGAUUAGCUUGUUGGUGAGGUAACGGCUCACCAAGGCGACGAUCCCUAGCUGGUCUGAGAGGAUGACCAGCCACACUGGAACUGAGACACGGUCCAGACUCCUACGGGAGGCAGCAGUGGGGAAUAUUGCACAAUGGGCGCAAGCCUGAUGCAGCCAUGCCGCGUGUAUGAAGAAGGCCUUCGGGUUGUAAAGUACUUUCAGCGGGGAGGAAGGUGUUGUGGUUAAUAACCGCAGCAAUUGACGUUACCCGCAGAAGAAGCACCGGCUAACUCCGUGCCAGCAGCCGCGGUAAUACGGAGGGUGCAAGCGUUAAUCGGAAUUACUGGGCGUAAAGCGCACGCAGGCGGUCUGUCAAGUCGGAUGUGAAAUCCCCGGGCUCAACCUGGGAACUGCAUUCGAAACUGGCAGGCUUGAGUCUUGUAGAGGGGGGUAGAAUUCCAGGUGUAGCGGUGAAAUGCGUAGAGAUCUGGAGGAAUACCGGUGGCGAAGGCGGCCCCCUGGACAAAGACUGACGCUCAGGUGCGAAAGCGUGGGGAGCAAACAGGAUUAGAUACCCUGGUAGUCCACGCCGUAAACGAUGUCUACUUGGAGGUUGUGCCCUUGAGGCGUGGCUUCCGGAGCUAACGCGUUAAGUAGACCGCCUGGGGAGUACGGCCGCAAGGUUAAAACUCAAAUGAAUUGACGGGGGCCCGCACAAGCGGUGGAGCAUGUGGUUUAAUUCGAUGCAACGCGAAGAACCUUACCUGGUCUUGACAUCCACGGAAGUUUUCAGAGAUGAGAAUGUGCCUUCGGGAACCGUGAGACAGGUGCUGCAUGGCUGUCGUCAGCUCGUGUUGUGAAAUGUUGGGUUAAGUCCCGCAACGAGCGCAACCCUUAUCCUUUGUUGCCAGCGAUUAGGUCGGGAACUCAAAGGAGACUGCCAGUGAUAAACUGGAGGAAGGUGGGGAUGACGUCAAGUCAUCAUGGCCCUUACGACCAGGGCUACACACGUGCUACAAUGGCGCAUACAAAGAGAAGCGACCUCGCGAGAGCAAGCGGACCUCAUAAAGUGCGUCGUAGUCCGGAUUGGAGUCUGCAACUCGACUCCAUGAAGUCGGAAUCGCUAGUAAUCGUGGAUCAGAAUGCCACGGUGAAUACGUUCCCGGGCCUUGUACACACCGCCCGUCACACCAUGGGAGUGGGUUGCAAAAGAAGUAGGUAGCUUAACCUUCGGGAGGGCGCUUACCACUUUGUGAUUCAUGACUGGGGUGAAGUCGUAACAAGGUAACCGUAGGGGAACCUGCGGUUGGAUCACCUCCUUA
RNAcentral lists this ribosomal RNA (1542 nucleotides) under Salmonella enterica subsp. enterica serovar Senftenberg. RNAcentral describes it as "16S ribosomal RNA". It matches the Rfam family "Bacterial small subunit ribosomal RNA". Lineage: Bacteria; Pseudomonadati; Pseudomonadota; Gammaproteobacteria; Enterobacterales; Enterobacteriaceae. The record is from RNAcentral. RNAcentral also lists the same sequence under 32 other names.